RNAcentral lists this ribosomal RNA (301 nucleotides) under uncultured bacterium. Its description in RNAcentral is "partial 16S ribosomal RNA". It matches the Rfam family "Bacterial small subunit ribosomal RNA", at positions 509 to 807 of the family's 1533-position model. The record is from RNAcentral.
CAGCCGCCGCGGUAAUGCGUAGGUGGCAAGCGUUGUCCGGAAUUAUUGGGCGUAAAGGGCUCGCAGGCGGUUUCUUAAGUCUGAUGUGAAAGCCCCCGGCUCAACCGGGGAGGGUCAUUGGAAACUGGGAAACUUGAGUGCAGAAGAGGAGAGUGGAAUUCCACGUGUAGCGGUGAAAUGCGUAGAGAUGUGGAGGAACACCAGUGGCGAAGGCGACUCUCUGGUCUGUAACUGACGCUGAGGAGCGAAAGCGUGGGGAGCGAACAGGAUUAGAUACCCCAGUAGUCCCUGUCUCUUAUAC